RNAcentral lists this ribosomal RNA (391 nucleotides) under uncultured bacterium. Its description in RNAcentral is "bacterial SSU rRNA". It matches the Rfam family "Bacterial small subunit ribosomal RNA", at positions 30 to 419 of the family's 1533-position model. The record is from RNAcentral.
AUUGAACGCUGGCGGAAUGCUUUACACAUGCAAGUCGAACGGCAGCACGGGUGCUUGCACCUGGUGGCGAGUGGCGAACGGGUGAGUAAUGCACCGGAACGUAUCCAAUAAUGGGGGAUAACGCACCGAAAGGUGUGCUAAUACCGCAUACGCCCUGAGGGGGAAAGCGGGGGAUCGUAAGACCUCGCGUUAAUGGAGCGGCCGAUGCCGGAUUAGCUAGUUGGUGAGGUAAAGGCUCACCAAGGCGACGAUCCGUAGCUGGUCUGAGAGGACGACCAGCCACACUGGAACUGAGACACGGUCCAGACUCCUACGGGAGGCAGCAGUGGGGAAUUUUGGACAAUGGGCGCAAGCCUGAUCCAGCCAUGCCGCGUGAGUGAAGAAGGCCCUU